CAACCAAAGAUUUAUCGCUCUGGGAUGGGCUCAUGUCUGAUUAGAUAGUUGGCGGGGUAACGGCCCACCAAGUCUGCGAUCAGUAGCCGGACUGAGAGGUUGAACGGCCACAUUGGGACUGAGAUACGGCCCAGACUCCUACGGGAGGCAGCAGUGGGGAAUAUUGGGCAAUGGGCGCAAGCCUGACCCAGCAACGCCGCGUGAAGGAAGAAGGCUUUCGGGUUGUAAACUUCUUUUAUCAGGGACGAAGAAAGUGACGGUACCUGAUGAAUAAGCCACGGCUAACUACGUGCCAGCAGCCGCGGUAAUACGUAGGUGGCGAGCGUUGUCCGGAUUUACUGGGUGUAAAGGGCGCGUAGGCGGGAAGGCAAGUCAGGUGUGAAAUCUAUGGGCUCAACCCAUAAACUGCACUUGAAACUGUUUUUCUUGAGUGUCGGAGAGGUAGAUGGAAUUCCUAGUGUAGCGGUGAAAUGCGUAGAUAUUAGGAGGAACACCAGUGGCGAAGGCGAUCUACUGGACGAUAACUGACGCUGAGGCGCGAAAGCGUGGGGAGCAAACAGGAUUAGAUACCCUGGUAGUC
RNAcentral lists this ribosomal RNA (580 nucleotides) under uncultured rumen bacterium. RNAcentral describes it as "bacterial SSU rRNA". It matches the Rfam family "Bacterial small subunit ribosomal RNA", at positions 198 to 795 of the family's 1533-position model. The record is from RNAcentral.